RNAcentral lists this ribosomal RNA (896 nucleotides) under Triticum aestivum (bread wheat). RNAcentral's name for it is "partial small subunit ribosomal RNA". The record is from RNAcentral. Lineage: Eukaryota; Viridiplantae; Streptophyta; Magnoliopsida; Poales; Poaceae.
GCUCGUUACAAAUUAUCUUAUCACAAAACUAUCUAUUAUCUAUAGUUUCAGUGCUUGCAGAGAAUACCUUGCUGAAAACCGCUCAUCAUUUCCUUCUGCUCCUCGUUGGGUUCGACACUCUUACUUAUCGAAAGGACUACGAUAGAUCCCCUAUACUUGUGGGUUAUCAAUUUACAAUUGACUCAGAUGGCAGAGAUGCAAAUGAGUAACAAAACGAACGCAAAGAGGAGUCCUGGUCGCCGUCGAAGCAACGUCUGGGCCGCCAUCAGAUGCUUCAGGCAAGCGGCACUGGCGCUCCCGCCAACGAGGGGCGGCUUGCCUGACCGGCGGUCCACGCGCAGGUGCGCCCCACACGAGCGAGGCGAGGGACGGACCGCAAUGGAUCGAUGUCGGCGCGGUCGUCAUCAUCCUUACGUAUGAUGGAGGCGAGGCAGAGGGUCGCAGCGCCGGUCGCAGAGGAGAUGUUCGCCAACGGCCGGCAAACUCGGAGGCGGCGGCGGUGCGACGGCCGUGGUGGCGGCAGUGGUGAGGCCCCCUGCAUGCUUCCUCUGCUCAUGACCAAGGGAAAACGAAAGGACUGAGAUGUAGGGGAGGAAGAGAGGAAGAAGGAGAAAGGAGGUGUUGCGGGGAGGCACUGGAGCUGCGGUGGGGCGGCAUGCGCGAGGACGAAGAGGAAGGAGGAGGCGGUCGAGGGGCUCGGUGGUGGCCUCCUGGAUCGAGAGCUCUACGGGGAAGCCUUAAAGCACCGACGGCCAUUGAGAGGGACUGGAGUGUUGUUCCUCGCUGGACAGAGAGAAGGGGAUAGAAGAGAGAAAGGGAAUCAGGAGUGUGGGGGAGAAGAACACGUGGGGAGAGAUGGGGAUGAGGGCGGCUGAGAAGAUGAGGUUGGAGAGAUA